GACAGAGGUGCCGAGCGUUAGGCGGAAUCACUGGGCUUAAAGCGUGUGUAGGCGGGUCGUUAAGUGCCUUGUGAAAUCCCAUCGCUCAACGAUGGAACUGCUGGGCAUACUGGCGAUCUUGAGCCGGCUAGGGGCGACUGGAACAAGCGGUGGAGCGGUGAAAUGCGUAGAUAUCGCUUGGAACGCCAAAGGUGAAAACAGGUCGCUGGGGCCGCGCUGACGCUGAGACACGAAAGCCAGGGGAGCGAACGGG
Molecule: ribosomal RNA, 253 nt
Filed under: uncultured bacterium
Lineage: Bacteria
Description: partial 16S ribosomal RNA
Rfam family: Bacterial small subunit ribosomal RNA
Source: RNAcentral